GCUGGGCACAGUGGUGCAUGCCUGUAAUUCCAGCAGCUCAGUAGGCUGAGGCAGGAAGAUCGUGAAGUUCAAAGCCAGCCUCAGCAACCUAGCAAGGCCUGAAGCAACUUAAUGAGAUCCUGUCUCAA
RNAcentral lists this small RNA (128 nucleotides) under Marmota monax (woodchuck). Lineage: Eukaryota; Metazoa; Chordata; Mammalia; Rodentia; Sciuridae. The record is from RNAcentral.